This 798-nucleotide ribosomal RNA is filed under the name uncultured Porphyromonadaceae bacterium. RNAcentral describes it as "bacterial SSU rRNA". It matches the Rfam family "Bacterial small subunit ribosomal RNA", at positions 8 to 794 of the family's 1533-position model. Lineage: Bacteria; Pseudomonadati; Bacteroidota; Bacteroidia; Bacteroidales; Porphyromonadaceae. The record is from RNAcentral.
AGAGUUUGAUUAUGGCUCAGGAUGAACGCUAGCGAUAGGCCUAACACAUGCAAGUCGAGGGGCAGCACAUGAAGUAGCAAUACGGAUGGUGGCGACCGGCGCACGGGUGAGUAACGCGUAUGCAACCUGCCUACAACAGGGGAAUAACCCGUUGAAAGACGGACUAAUACCCCAUAACACAGGGAUCCCGCAUGGGAAUAUUUGUUAAAGAUUUAUCGGUUGUAGAUGGGCAUGCGUUCCAUUAGCUGGUUGGUGAGGUAACGGCUCACCAAGGCAACGAUGGAUAGGGGAACUGAGAGGUUUAUCCCCCACACUGGUACUGAGACACGGACCAGACUCCUACGGGAGGCAGCAGUGAGGAAUAUUGGUCAAUGGACGCAAGUCUGAACCAGCCACGUCGCGUGAAGGAAGACGGCCCUACGGGUUGUAAACUUCUUUUGUAAGGGAAUAAAGUGCAGUACGUGUACUGUUUUGCAUGUACCUUACGAAUAAGGAUCGCCUAACUCCGUGCCAGCAGCCGCGGUAAUACGGAGGAUCCGAGCGUUAUCCGGAUUUAUUGGGUUUAAAGGGUGCGCAGGCGGGAGAUUAAGUCGGCGGUGAAAUUUUGCAGCUCAACUGUAAAAGUGCCUUCGAAACUGGUUUUCUUGAGUGUGGAUGAAGUAGGCGGAAUUUGUGGUGUAGCGGUGAAAUGCAUAGAUAUCACGAGGAACUCCGAUUGCGCAGGCAGCUUACUAAACCAUAACUGACGCUCAGCACGAAAGGCGUGGGGAUCAAACAGGAUUAGAUACCCUGGUUAGU